RNAcentral lists this ribosomal RNA (562 nucleotides) under Copestylum aff. vagum XM-2008. Its description in RNAcentral is "eukaryotic LSU rRNA". The record is from RNAcentral. Lineage: Eukaryota; Metazoa; Arthropoda; Insecta; Diptera; Syrphidae.
AGUACGUGAAACUGCUAAGAGGUUAAGCCCGAUGAACCUGAAUAUCCAUUAUGGAAAAUUCAUCGCUAAAAAAAAAAUAAAAUAAAAAAUAGCGUGCAAUUUUUCCAUAUAAGGACAUUGUAAUCUGUUAAUGUAUUAAAUAUUUAUCAAAAGAUCUUUUACCUAAGUUUAUCCAAAUUAGUUAUUUUCGGAUUUCUAACAUAAGAUAAAUGUAUUAGAUUUGAUAAAUCAUUGACAGAUAAAAUUAUAUAUAGUGCUUAAAUUUUUCGGAAUUUUACAAUGGUGUUAAAUCUAUUGAUUUAAACAUUUUAUUGUAUGCAUUUAUAUGAUUAACAAUGCGAUAGAUUCAGGAUACCUUCGGGACCCGUCUUGAAACACGGACCAAGGAGUCUAACAUAUGUGCAAGUCAUUGGGUAUUUUUAAUAAAACCCAAAGGCAUAAUUAACUUAACUGUUUUAAUGGGAUUAGUUUAAAUUUUAUUAUGAAAUAUAAAUUCAAUCCCGGGGCGUUCUAUACGGUUAUGUAUAAUAAUAUUUAUAUUAUUUAUGCCUCUAACUAGAGC